AGGCGGCCCCGUGGACAAAGCAUGACGUUCAGCUGGGAAAGCGUUGGGAGCACACAGGAUUACAUACCCCGGUAGUCCUCGCCGUGAUCGAUGUCGCACUUGGAGGUUGUGCCCUUGAAUUCGUGGCUUCCGGACAUAACGCGAUAAGUCGACUUCCUGGGGAGUAUGGCAGCAAGGUUCAAACUCAAAUGAAUUGACGGGGGCCCGCACAAGCGGUGGAGCAUGUGGUCUAAUUUUAUGCAACGCGAAGAACCUUACCUACUCUUGACAUCCAGAGGCACGGCAGAGAUGCUUUUUGCCUUCGGGAAACGGAGACAGGAAGGCAUGGCUGUCGUCAGCUUGUUUUGUGAAAUGUUGGGUUAAGUCCCGCAACGAGUUCAUCCUUCAUCCUUCGUGGCCAGAGCUUGGGUGGGGACAUCAAAGGAGAUUCCCAGUGAUAAACUGGAGGAAGGUUGGGAUGAGGUCAAGUCAUCAUGGCCGUUAGGAGUAGGGCUACACACGUGUUACAAUGGCAUAUACAAAGAGAAGUGACCUCACGAGAGCAAGCGGACCUCAUAAAGUAUGUCGUAGUCCGGAUUGGAGUCUUCCCCCGACUCCAUGAAGUCGGAAUCGCUAGUAAUGGUAGAUCAGACUGUAGUGAUGAAUAUGUUUCCGGCCGUUGUCCACACCGCCCGUCACAGUCAUGGGAGU
RNAcentral lists this ribosomal RNA (690 nucleotides) under Klebsiella sp. PSB15. Its description in RNAcentral is "bacterial SSU rRNA". It matches the Rfam family "Bacterial small subunit ribosomal RNA", at positions 719 to 1411 of the family's 1533-position model. The record is from RNAcentral. Lineage: Bacteria; Pseudomonadati; Pseudomonadota; Gammaproteobacteria; Enterobacterales; Enterobacteriaceae.